AGAAUUCUGUAGUGUUCGAAUCGUCUUUUCAAUCGAGUUGACCGAACAUUUAUACACUGGGAUUCGAAAGAUGGUAUUCAUGACAAGCCUUUUCACUUGGAAGUCAGAUGUACCAUCGGAGAAACCCACCUGCAAUUAGCGGGUACAACCAUUAAGACGAUGGAACGGCACAUAACGGAAUUCGA
This 185-nucleotide non-coding RNA is filed under the name Alloiococcus otitis ATCC 51267. Its description in RNAcentral is "6S / SsrS RNA". It matches the Rfam family "6S / SsrS RNA". Rfam says of the family: E. coli 6S RNA was the first non coding RNA to be sequenced, but its function was unknown until recently. It consists of 184 nucleotides that fold into an extended hairpin structure with a large single-stranded internal bulge. The 6S RNA specifically associates with RNA polymerase holoenzyme containing the sigma70 specificity factor. The record is from Rfam by way of RNAcentral. Lineage: Bacteria; Bacillati; Bacillota; Bacilli; Lactobacillales; Carnobacteriaceae.